This is a non-coding RNA of Stegodyphus mimosarum, 73 nucleotides long. The record is from Rfam. NCBI's taxonomy places the organism in Eukaryota, Metazoa, Arthropoda, Arachnida, Araneae, Eresidae.
GCCUUCGUGGUGUAGUGGUCAGCACGCUGGCCGCGUAUUCCAGAGGUCCGUGGUUCGAUUCCCGGCGAAGGCG